UGUUAAAAGUUCCAUCCAUUUGUACUGUUAAAAAUUGUGAUACGUGACGGGUUAUGUGUACCUCAUGCUGACGUGCAAUGACCAGUUUUUUGAACAUUACAAAUGGAUGAAAUUUUUAAUA
Gossypium arboreum is the source of this 121-nucleotide non-coding RNA. The record is from Rfam. NCBI's taxonomy places the organism in Eukaryota, Viridiplantae, Streptophyta, Magnoliopsida, Malvales, Malvaceae.